Molecule: ribosomal RNA, 253 nt
Filed under: uncultured bacterium
Lineage: Bacteria
Description: partial 16S ribosomal RNA
Rfam family: Bacterial small subunit ribosomal RNA
Source: RNAcentral
UACGUAGGCAGCGAGCGUUGUUCGGAAUUACUGGGCGUAAAGAGUGUGUAGGCGGUGCUCCCAGUCUGUUGUGAAAUCUCCCGGCUUAACUGGGAGGGUGCAGCGGAAACUAGAGUGCUAGAGGGUGGGAGAGGUAAGCGGAAUUCCUGGUGAAGCGGUGAAAUGCGUAGAUAUCAGGAGGAACACCUGUGGUGUAGACAGCUUACUGGACCACUUCUGACGCUGAGACACGAAAGCGUGGGUAGCAAACAGG